ACUCCUACGGGAGGCAGCAGUGGGAAUCUUAGACAAUGGGCGCAAGCCUGAUCUAGCCAUGCCGCGUGAUCGAUGAAGGCCUUAGGGUUGUAAAGAUCUUUCAGAUGGGAAGAUAAUGACGGUACCAUCAGAAGAAGCCCGGCUAACUCCGUGCCAGCAGCCGCGGUAAUACGGAGGGGCUAGCGUUAUUCGGAAUUACUGGGCGUAAAGCGCACGUAGGCGGAUCAGAAAGUCAGAGGUGAAAUCCCAGGGCUCAACCUUGGAACUGCCUUUGAAACUCCUGGUCUUGAGUUCGAGAGAGGUGAGUGGAAUUCCGAGUGUAGAGGUGAAAUUCGUAGAUAUUCGGAGGAACACCAGUGGCGAAGGCGGCUCACUGGCUCGAUACUGACGCUGAGGUGCGAAAGCGUGGGGAGCAAACAGGAUUAGAUACCCUCGUAGGCUCUG
Molecule: ribosomal RNA, 444 nt
Filed under: uncultured bacterium
Lineage: Bacteria
Description: bacterial SSU rRNA
Rfam family: Bacterial small subunit ribosomal RNA
Source: RNAcentral